Pelobates cultripes (western spadefoot toad) is the source of this 1325-nucleotide non-coding RNA. The record is from the annotation of a GenBank genome assembly. NCBI's taxonomy places the organism in Eukaryota, Metazoa, Chordata, Amphibia, Anura, Pelobatidae.
AGGAGUAGUGGGAGUCUCAGCACAAGCGAAGUAUCACACAGCUAUGUUACAAUGCUGCCGCCCAUCCCAUGUGUUCCCUAUUAAGGGUUAAUAAGUAUAUAGGGGGGUAUAUAAACAAAUACCCCUCUCUGUCUCACUAGAGAUAUCUUUGCCAGAAGCUCAAGGAAGCAAGGUGAAGGACCCGCUUUAGGGGGGGGGGGUCUGCCUUGACGUUGGCAGGUGGGCAUUCCCUCCAAUGGCCAUUGGAGCAACUUAAAUGACCUCCAUUUGUUUCAAUAUACAUAGGGAUUCAGGAGAGCGCAGGUAACUUUUUGUAUUUUAAUGUUUUAUUGUAUGCAUUGGGGUUGAUGUAUACAGUAACCGUUGCUGCCGCCCCGGGGUUGUGGGAGUUUGAGAACAAGGAUUAAUUUUGACACAGAGAGCAGUAGAGACAAUGGUAAAACAGGAGAGAGAGCGUAAUAGAAAGAAAGAGUGCAAGAGCGAGAGAAAGUGAGGGAGAGACAGAGAGAGAGAGAAUGUAGUAGACAGAGAGAGUGCGAGAGAGAGAUAAAGUGAGGGAGAGACAGAGAGAGAGAGCGUAGUAGACAGAGAGAGUGCAAGAGAGAGAAAGUGAGGGAGAGACAGAGAGCGUAAUAAACCAAGAGAGUGCAAGAGAGAGAGAAAGUGAGGGAGAGAGAGAGAGAGCGUAGUAGGCAGAGAGAGUGCAAGAGCGAGAGCAUAGUAGGCAGAGAAAGUACAAGAGAGAGAGAAAGUGAGGGAGAGACAGAGAGAGAGCGUAGUAGGCAGAGAAAGUGCAAGAGAGAGAGAAAGUGAGGGAGAGACAGAGAGUUUAAAUUAGACUCCAGCUCUCCUAGUAUAAGUUCCCGUUUGGCGGUUUGAAACGCUGGGAGCUUGGCUUUACCCGUCACAUUGUGUAAUGUCUGGGCUUAUCCCCUUCCUGCCAUUGAAUGUUUAUUGAGUAACUGAACGACUGACACCCCCAUGUAGGAUGUGAGCGCUCCCCAGAAUUUCUGACAUUCUCAUUCUGCAUUGCUGAGCAAUAGAUGUCAGAUUUCACAGCACAGUGACUGGGAAACACACGUUACAGACUUUAUUUAAGGCUCCUUCUCUUCUACACUUCUUAUCUGAGCAUGAACCAUCAUCAUUCUAACAGUGGGGCAGUUACUAUGGAAACCAGUGCUUGAUUGCCCCCAUUGGAUAUGUACCCACCAAUAAACUCACAAGCCUUGUGCAGUAUGAAUGCCAACAAUGAGAAUAACACUGUGGCUGUAUCGUCAUCAUUGAAUUACACCCUUUCCCAAUUCUGGUGGGUGGAGGGUAUUAAG